RNAcentral lists this unclassified non-coding RNA (404 nucleotides) under soil metagenome. Its description in RNAcentral is "partial contains 5.8S ribosomal RNA, internal transcribed spacer 2, and large subunit ribosomal RNA". The stretch from base 1 to 122 matches the Rfam family "5.8S ribosomal RNA", at positions 35 to 154 of the family's 154-position model. The record is from RNAcentral.
GAUGAAGAACGUAGCGAAAUGUGAUACUUGGUGUGAAUUGCAGAAUCCCGUGAACCAUCGAGUUUUUGAACGCAAGUUGCGCCCGAAGCCGUUAGGCCGAGGGCACGCCUGCCUGGGUGUCACAAAUCGUUGCCCCAAUGCCAAUCGCCUCACUUUGUAGGUAUUUGCUUGGGGUGAAUGUUGGCCUCCCGUGAGCUUUGUCUCACGGUUGGUUGAAAAUCGAGUGCAUGGUGUCGGGUGUACCAUGAUGGAUGGUGGUUGAGUGAUGAUGCUCGAGACCAAUCAUGGGUAACUCCACCAGAAUUGGGCUCGGUGACCCACAUGCGUCCCUUGGAUGCUCCCUAAGGAGACCUCAGGUCAGGCGGGGCUACCCGCUGAGUUUAAGCAUAUCAAUAAGCGGAGGA